CAAAUAGUUCAAACAGAUUAUCGAGCUUUCUGUUUAGAACCGUCUUAGUGUUUCUAGCACAAAUUAAUCGGGGUGGAGUGUCUAAUUGCUGGUAACUGAAUCUGUUAUGGCUCUGCGUGCCAGGCUGGCAGCUCCUGUUACCAGAUUCCUGCUUCUCAGAGGCAGCCUUUGCAGGGAGAGAACCGUGAUUCUGCAGUGGGACCAGUGCUGUAACUGGUGAGGCUGCCCCAGGCCUCUGCCUGAACUGGCCUUGCUCUCAGUGUGACAUAGCAGCUUGGGGCAGCAGAGGAGGUCUGGCUGCUAGCUGACGAGCUGCUGCUGUCCUUUUGGCUUGGGAUGACCCAAAUCUGCUCCUAAAACCUGAUGGACAGGAGCUUGCUGGGGCAUGGGGGAAGCUCCGUGGGGUUGGACCUGACUUUAUUACUGUGGUUUCCCAGGCUGCUGUUGGGGACCAAUGUUUUCUCUGUCGGAGUGAAAGCAUGCCUGACAGAGGGAGUUGUUUCAGACCUAAACAAUGUCUGUGUUUAAACAUUUGUUUUUAAUUAGGCCUCUGCUCUAUGGCCAAUUACAAAGCCUGAAACCACUGGGCAUCACCAGAGCCAUCCCUUGUCAAAGCCACCAUACUUGCUGCUUCUCAUUCUCUGGCGGGAGGUGUUCACACAGGCAGGCCCCAUCUGCUCACCCCUUUGUUGCCUCUUACAGCCAUCCUGCAGCUCUCCUCCCUUCUCCUGCUGACCCUUAAGCUAUUUUCAGUAAACCUCUUUCCAUUCCCUGUGGGGGCAUUCUGUAAUUAAGGAGGCAGCGAUAACAUCUAGAGAUUAUUUACUGAUGUCCUUUAAAAAGGAAGCUCUGAGCCUGUCCCCUCUUCUCCCCUCCUUGCCUUAAGCAGAGCUUAGUGUGGAACCUGGAACUAUGCUGAUAUGUGUGCAGAGCCCUGCACUAUGGCAACCAGAGCAGGAGGGAGGAGGGCCCCAAGAUGGCUGCCUGGGCCUCAGGUGUUGAUCCAGCAUGGAUAGAAGGUCCCAUGGUGUCGUGUUUGUACGCUGUGUCCUGCCACCAGUGGAUCCCAGUUCCCACAGUGCUGGCUCAAACCAAUGGGCUGAACCCAGGUGAAGGAGCCACUCAACUCCAGCUGCAGUCAAGUGCUUUUGCCUCUUCCAUAAAACCAAGUCACAGCAGUUCAACCUUCCCAUGGGAUUGGUCAUUGUUUCAAAGAGCUUGCCCAUUUCUGAGAAGGUGUCAAGUAGUCUUUUCUAAUUGCAAAUGUAAAAAAUAGAAAUCCUCUUUUCCUCCUCUAAAGACAAAGCGCAGAACUCAUAAAAAUUGCUAUUAUUUAUUUAAGACAUGUUGCCUUUUAAAAUUAAAACAAAUGCAGAGAAGUGGUAAAGUUUUUUAAUAUUGUCUUGAAAUGGUAUAGGCCUUACUGAAAUCAAAAAUAAUCUCCUGUUGUGGCAGGAGAGGCUGAUGGGGUGGAUUUCGCUAACACUGGAGGCGUAUGUGACAACAGACUGGCUCCAAGCAGCUCUUUGUUCCUGUCACACAGAGAUGGGCAGCUGGAGCUCAGGCUCCAGAAGAAAGAGGAGGAAGCUUCACCUCAAGGACCCCAGGGUUUGGGGGGACCCUGUCUUGGCUUG
This 1634-nucleotide long non-coding RNA is filed under the name Numida meleagris (helmeted guineafowl). RNAcentral describes it as "lncRNA (ENSNMEG00000012039.1)". Lineage: Eukaryota; Metazoa; Chordata; Aves; Galliformes; Numididae. The record is from RNAcentral.